RNAcentral lists this ribosomal RNA (588 nucleotides) under uncultured fungus. Its description in RNAcentral is "eukaryotic LSU rRNA". The stretch from base 217 to 370 matches the Rfam family "5.8S ribosomal RNA". Lineage: Eukaryota; Fungi. The record is from RNAcentral.
CUUGGUCAUUUAGAGGAAGUAAAAGUCGUAACAAGGUCUCCGUUGGUGAACCAGCGGAGGGAUCAUUACCGAGUUUACAACUCCCAAACCCCUGUGAACAUACCAAUUGUUGCCUCGGCGGAUCAGCCCGCUCCCGGUAAAACGGAACGGUCCGCCAGAGGACCCCUAAACUCUGUUUCUAUAUGUAACUUCUGAGUAAAACCAUAAAUAAAUCAAAACUUUCAACAACGGAUCUCUUGGUUCUGGCAUCGAUGAAGAACGCAGCAAAAUGCGAUAAGUAAUGUGAAUUGCAGAAUUCAGUGAAUCAUCGAAUCUUUGAACGCACAUUGCGCCCCAUGGUAUUCCGUGGGGCAUGCCUGUUCGAGCGUCAUUUACCCCCUCAAGCUCCGCUUGGUGUUGGGCGUCUGUCCCGCUUCGCGCGCGGACUCGCCCCAAAGGUAUUGGCAGCGGUCGUGCCAGCUUCUCGCGCAGCACAUUGCGCUUCUCGAGGCACCGGCGGGCCCGCGUCCAUCAAGCUCAACCCCCCCAGUUUGACCUCGGAUCAGGUAGGGAUACCCGCUGAACUUAAGCAUAUCAAUAAGCGGAGGA